This 69-nucleotide transfer RNA is filed under the name Erinaceus europaeus (western European hedgehog). It matches the Rfam family "tRNA". Rfam says of the family: Transfer RNA (tRNA) molecules are approximately 80 nucleotides in length. Their secondary structure includes four short double-helical elements and three loops (D, anti-codon, and T loops). The record is from Rfam by way of RNAcentral. Lineage: Eukaryota; Metazoa; Chordata; Mammalia; Eulipotyphla; Erinaceidae.
GCAGUGGCUCAACCAAUAGAGCACACACUUGGCAAGCCUGUGGCCCCAGGUUCAGUUCCUGGCACUGCA